CUGGCAGUCUUCAAACUACAACUAAAGAUCUACCUCUUAAUGAAGUGUUUAAAUUGGCACCUUAUUUAAAAAAUAAAAUAAAAAAUAAUAAUUAAAAAAAAAAACACUUGUAUUGUCCUGAGCAAUUACCACUACAAAUACCAUUACAAGCCAUCAGCUCUUAACCAUUAAAACCAUGACCAAAUGUUUUCCAUUACAUAGUAGGGCACAAUUAAGGACGUAGAUCAUUAAUGGUAUCCACUAGACACAACAUGCCACUAACAGAAUGUAAAAAAUUACCAGUUGAGACCCACAGGGACCAUUACAGUUUCCAUUAAAACUAAUACAAUGCCCAUUAUAAUCAUUACAAAUUCUGUUAGGGUUUCUAUAGUUUUUUUCAGCUGGGAAGAGUGAGGAGGCUAUCCGCCCACAGUACGUCUGCCCAGACAUGGUUGCCAGAUUGAGCUUACUUGAUUUUGCUAUUUAUAAAAUGAAAAAUGAAAUGGGACAAAUUUUAUGGUUGAUAAUUUUGUCUAGGCUUCAUUUGGUUAUUAUAAAUUGGGAUAGUUUAGCGUAAAUUGGACGGGUUUUAAAUUAUCCCCACUGUUUUGGAAGCAAGUCAAGGCAACCCCGAUGAAAUGAAACCAAAAAUUAUCGGUACACGGCCACGUUCACUUUUAAACACCCGACCAGUUUUUGACACUGCUUUUUGAGAAAUGGCCUCCACAGUGACCACAGAUGCUCAUGGAGUCAGGGUGGUGACCCAGGUCAUUCCUCUGGUGAGUCCAGAGACUGUCCAGUGUCCCGGUCAGAACAAAGACAGCAAGACUAAAGUACCUGAAGCCCCGUACAUGACCAGGAUGUUCCUGAAGGGAGAGCCUGUAGCAUUAGGGACUGUGCAGAUCAUGAUUGGGAUCGUGAUGAUAGCUUUGGGAGCAGUUACUUGGUUCACACAAAUUCUGUAUGGUGAAAUCCCUCUGGGCCUUGGACUAUCAUUUAUCUUCUCUGGAUCUGUAACCUUGGGUGCACACAAGGGAACCUGUCCUCCAAUUAUUAAAAGCACAAUUGCCCUGAACAUCAUCAGUGCUGUACUUGCCAUGUCCGGCAUCUGCUACUUCUGCUUUGCACUUGCCAUAAAAGCUCAUUUGGAUGCUUGUAGUGAUGAUCAUGAGAAAAAGUUCUACUACACCGGCUACUAUGACUGCCAGUUUGCAGCUAGGCGUCUGCAGAACUUAAUAAGCGGAAUAAAGGGCAUACUUUUGAUUUUAUCCGUGCUGGAGGUGUGCGUGUGUACCACAACUGUUGUCUUUUCCUGCAAGGCCAACCUACAUGCAUCUGGGACUAAAAUGGAUGCGGUGGUGGUGCAGGGAAGAUGCAGCAGCCAAGAAGCUCUGCUGAACAGUGAAUUGGCUUCACCUCCAGCCUAUGAGCCUUGAGUGAACCCAUCCUAUGAAAGCAAUUUAUGGUUUAGAGUACAGUAUAGUAUAACAUAGUUUAAAGUAGUGCUUGCACCUUUUAGACACUAAUGUAAGAGUCUCAGAUAUUACACUUAAUUUUUUUCAUGUAUUCUGCUUUUGACGUUGCACCUUUGCACAAAUUUAUGCCACAUUGAAAAUGCCUGCAGUUAUACUGAAUACUUGUAUUCUUCAAUAAAUGCUAAAGUGCACUUAUUACCUGUGUGUGCCUCUUAUCGCUGUACGAUUUAGUGACACAAUUCCCAGUGAAACUGAGCCAUAGAUUGAUCUUCACAGCAUAGUAGUGGGGUGAGGCAAUACCUUUUGCCCACUUGCUGUGUCUGCGUUUAGUGCAUGUCCUUUUCACACACAGACUGAAACAGUGUCGGCUCUUUAACAUCAUAUUACCUUCUCCUUCUCCUCCCACACCCACGACGUAGCACACUAGUGUCAAUACUCUCCAGCAGUGGGUCUUCUCUACUUGCUGCAGUCUGCCACACCACAUUCUCAACUGCGCUCUUCAGCCCCUCCAAAGCGUUUAGAUAAUUCAUGCUCCGGUGAAACAUACCUCACAACACAGCUCUUAGAGUCGAGAUUGCUCUAGAAUACGGAGGUAUUGAGCUCGCCCUCAUUCGGCUGUGUCCGGAUUGCCUCGCCUCAUUACAUUAAGAGUGCUGCAGCGGUUUGGACCCCUCCUCGGUUUGUCAACACCGCCUCUGCACAACUCAAGAGCACCAUGUCGCUGUACCCGUCUCAGAUUAAGGCUUUCAAGAGCAGCGAGCCCAAAACCCUUGGGGCAGUGGAGAUCAUCAUUGGGUUGCUGACGGUCAUUCUGAGCACGAUUGUGUAUAAACUGCACUACCACAUCCAGCGGGAGGUCAUCAUCCUCAUCCUGAAUGGUGCUCAACUCAUUAUCACUGGAAUUGUCUUGGUGCAUACUGGUAGGAGACCAUCUAAAUGUCUGGUGGGUACAACCAUUGUUUUGCAGUUGCUAACCGCAGCAUUUGAUAUUGUCGGAUUUGGUCUCAUAGCCCGACAUGUGCCCUUUCGUGGGGAAUCCUACUAUUACAGAGACACCGAGUGGUGUUGUGACCCACUCCAUUCAGUGUGGGCUUGCUGUGGAGAAGGAGAUAAAGCGGGACAGAAGGAGUUCCUGGUGAAUGGCAUUUUGGGCACCUUGAUUGGUUUUUUGGUAUUGGUGUGUAUUAUCGGUUUGGUUGUGGCACUUUUUGGAGUGUAUGCCCUAUCUGUUAGUGCUAUUAAGGAGAUGACACCUAUUCCUACCUCCACUGCAAACGCACAGUACGGUGCCGGAGGACAGGCCAGGACUAAUGUGCGUAAUGGGAACUGACCGAACAAAAUCUCUCACAGGAUAAGAUCAAUGGUUUUAGCACAGUUUCAUACCAAUCAAAAGAAACAACUGUUUCAACUCUAAAUCACACACAAUUCAAACAAAAACUUUUGUGACAAUGUAAAUAAUUUGUAAACAAACAAACAAAAAAAAACAACUGUUAGGUCGUUACUUGGCUGUUUUCUCACGCUGCAGUGAAUUUUGAUGGCUAAAUAGUUGCUAGGACUUCAUUCAUUUUGCACUAAUAGACAAGUUUGUUUGCAUGAAAAUACUUUUGUAGUGUCAGUAAUGAGCAAGCCAUAGACGUGAAUGCUGUAAGAUUGUACAGAAAUGUAGGUAGCAAUUCUUUUUUUUUAAUAUGCUAACCAAUUUGCAAAUUAGACAGAUUAUCAGUCACAAAAUACAUGUUUGUACUGGACUACAACUGCUUUCAAAACAAAGAAAGAAAUAUGAGAGAUGAUGUAUAAUAUAGUAUAUUAUUAAUGCAAGUCUGUGCUGGGGUGCUGUAGAACAUCAUUUGCAUGAAACAUUAGUCAAAUUCUAAGGCUAGUAAUGAGAGAUAAUACUGAACAACAUUUAUUAAGCUUUUCCUCAAAAAAACAUUGGGUUCAAAAGAAUCUACCAAGGAAUCUAUCUGGCCAACUCAAACAAAAACCUUAAGAUUACACACUAGCAAUAUAUAAUGAACACUAGUAAUGUCAGUGUAUUUGUAAUAUUUGCAUUUACAUUUUUAGGCAACCAGAGUUGACAGACUUUACAAAAGAAUGAAAGCUUGAUAAAUAUUGCCCAGAGUACACAUGAAAGUAAGGAUGUUUCUAAUGUGGGAGAACUGUGUCAAGAUCAUCUAAGUGUUAACAAAUGAUUGGCAUUGCUUGGCUUUUUUUGUCAUCCUAUUUUAUAUUUACUGAUACUUCAGGAAAGCUAUGAUGACUGCCAACUCUGUAAGUGCCACCACUUGUGACCAAAAUUAAUGGACACUAACAACAAAAAGUAAGAGGUUGAAGCCUCACUUAAGGGCUCAGCCGGUGUAAUCUCCUCUUGUGGAAGCAUGUUAUCAGUUCACAGUACUGUCUGUGUCAGUGUGUCAUUGCCUUUACAACAGCAUGUCAGAUUUACAUUUUGCCUGUAUUCUUCAACUUCUUUAUAUGUAGUGAUGGAAAAUCAUAGACAGUGUCAUGCGUGUUUAUGUAUGAUUGAUGUUUAAAAUAAACAUGAUUUGCUAGACAAACAGCAAUGGAAUAUUUUCUGCAUUAAAAAGUGUAAAUAAAGGAAAGUGCCAUACCCACAAAGUAAAAUAAAUAUUCAGUAUACCUAAAAAUUUAUUAUGUUACUUAUUUUCCAUUUAAAAAGCACCAAAAUAGUACCGCAGUAAGGUCUAAAGUAACACAAUUGUUGAUUCAAGUUCAAAUACUUGCCCUGUCCUACUCGCCUGCUCCAAUUUCAUGUGGUUCUACAGUCCCCUCCUAAAAUACUGGAACACAGGGUUAAUUCGUUGUUGUUUUUUGCUGUAGACUGAAGACAUUUGGGUUUAAAUUAAAAAUUAAAUAUGAGAAGAAAGUUAGAAUUUCAGCUUUUAUUUCCUGAUAUUUAUAUGUAGAUGUGUUAAAUGACAUAGAACAUUUUGUAUCAACCACCCAAUUUGUAGGUCAGCAAAAAUAUUGGAACAUGGACUGACAGAUAUUUCUUGUUACCCAGGUGUGUCUUGUUAAGUUGAUUGUUUAAACAAUAAAUAGCUCUGAACAUCUACUCAUGGUUUCAGCCUUCAGUUUCACCUGUGAAGACUGCAUUUGUUGUUAAAAAGGAUAGGCCAACAUGAAAAUUGGACAGCCGUCUAUGGGAGAAAAGCAAGCCAUCUUGAAGCUGAGAAAAGAGGGAAAAUCAAUCAGAGACAUUGCACAAACAUUGGGCAUAGUGACUACAACAAUUUGGAAUGUCCUGCAAAAGAAAGAAACCACUGAUGUACUGAGCAACAGACACUGAGAACAACAGCAGCUGAAGACAGAAACAUUGUGAGAGCUGUAAAGAAAAACACAAAAACAACAAUCAUUGACAUAACCAACAACCUCCACAGGACACUCGUGAAGGUAUCACAAUCCACCGCUCAAAGACUUCAAGUGCAGAAAUAUAUAGAGGCCAUACCACAAGAUGCUAUCUACUCAUCAGCUGAAAGAAUCAGAAAGCCAGAUUGGAAUUGGCAAAGAAAUACAGAGAUGAGCCACAAAAGUUCUGGAACCAAGAUAACCUCUACAAAGCCAUGGAAAGGCCAAUGUGUGGAGAAAGAAGGGAUCUGCUCAUGAUCCAAAACAUACAGGUUCAUCUCUGAAUCAUGGUGGAGGUAGUGUCAGGGCUUGGGCUUGCAUGGCCUUUUCUUUAACAGGCUCACUAGUGUUUAUUGAUGAUAUAACUCAUGAUGGUAGCAGCAGAAUGAAUAAAGAAGUUUGCAGGAACAUUUGUCAAUUUACAGAGAAAUGCAUCCAAACUAGCUGGAAGGAACUUCAUAAUGCAACAAGAAAAUUACCCAAAACACUGACAACUCAACAAAGGACUUCAUCAAGGGGGAAAAAGUGGAAGGUUUGAGACUGCCCAGUUAAUCACCAGAUCUUAACCCAAUUUAGCAGAAUUUCAAAUCCUGAAGAGGAGACUGAAGGGAGAAACCACCUGAAACAAACAACAACUGAAAGAGGCUGCUGUAAAAGCCUGGAAAACCAUUAAAAAAGAAGAAGAAGAAACCAACAAUUUGGUGAUGUCAAUGAGGCUUGAUGCAGUUAUUGGAAGCAAGGCAUAUGCAAUCAAAUAUUAUGUUAUUUUCUUUCAUUUACUUCAAGACUUACCUUUUCUUAUACUUUUGCUCACCUAAAAAUUGGGUGGUCUGAUACAAAAGGUUCUAUGUUUAAUGUUGUUUAACACAUCUAGAUGUAAAUACCAGGAAAUAAAAGCUGAAAUAAUAAACUUUAUUUGCAUACCCAUCUUUUGAUCUCAAACCCAAAUGUCUUUGGUGUAUAGCACAAACAAAUGAAUUGGCCUUGCCAUUCCAAUCAUUUCAGAUGAGACUGUAAGUGAAUUCACUUAUUGAUAACAAGUUGCCUAGUCGUAUUCGGCUAACUUUAUAACAGAUCUGCAUAUAUAAAACAGUGAUUCUUUCAUUCAUCUUACGUAACCACUUUAUCCUGGGCAGGGUCAUGGAGGGUUUGGAGUCUAUCCGGGGGACACUGGCUGUGAGGUGGGAAUACUCUAUGAAACACCACUGCAUUGCAGGGCAGCAUUCACACACUCUAAUCCACCUUUAGUUAUGUUUUAUGGGAGGAAACCCACCUGUACAUAAGGAGUGCAUAAACAAGAUUCUAUCAGCACCUGACUUUUCUACAUGGCCACAAUUAAGCAAUGCAUAUUUAAUCUGAAGAUUUAAUUUGUACUCAAUUGUUUAUAUUAAGAUUAUUAAUUUUGUAUUUGUGGUUCUGAGUACUGUUUCAUUAUAACUUGUUUUCUGGGAGAGCUGGUGCAUUUAUACUGUAGACUUAUGUCAUGCGCUACAACAACACUUCCCCAUAGGAAACACUUAUGUAUCCUGAUUCUAAAAGCCUAAUUUCUCUUCUCUUCUACUGCAUUUUAAUAACUGGUACCUAUGUAAAGAUGGCAGACAUUGAUUGAU
Molecule: long non-coding RNA, 6433 nt
Organism: Ictalurus punctatus (channel catfish)
Lineage: Eukaryota; Metazoa; Chordata; Actinopteri; Siluriformes; Ictaluridae
Source: Ensembl